RNAcentral lists this ribosomal RNA (347 nucleotides) under Babesia bigemina. Its description in RNAcentral is "partial 18S ribosomal RNA". It matches the Rfam family "Eukaryotic small subunit ribosomal RNA", at positions 469 to 884 of the family's 1831-position model. The record is from RNAcentral. Lineage: Eukaryota; Apicomplexa; Aconoidasida; Piroplasmida; Babesiidae.
GACAAGAAAUAACAAUACGGGGCUUUCGUCUUGUAAUUGGAAUGAUGGUGAUGUACAACCUCACCAGAGUACCAAUUGGAGGGCAAGUCUGGUGCCAGCAGCCGCGGUAAUUCCAGCUCCAAUAGCGUAUAUUAAACUUGUUGCAGUUAAAAAGCUCGUAGUUGUAUUUCAGCCUCGCGUUUUUUCCCUCUUUUCGGGUCUUUUCGCUGGCUUUUUUUUUACUUUGAGAAAAUUAGAGUGUUUCAAGCAGACUUUUGUCUUGAAUACUUCAGCAUGGAAUAAUAGAGUAGGACCUUGGUUCUAUUUUGUUGGUUUCGAGCCUUGGUAAUGGUUAAUAGGAACGGUUG